RNAcentral lists this ribosomal RNA (254 nucleotides) under uncultured bacterium. Its description in RNAcentral is "partial 16S ribosomal RNA". It matches the Rfam family "Bacterial small subunit ribosomal RNA", at positions 524 to 776 of the family's 1533-position model. The record is from RNAcentral.
UACGGGGGGGGGUAAGCGUUGUUCGGAAUUACUGGGCGUAAAGGGCUCGUAGGCGGCCAACUAAGUCGGACGUGAAAUCCCUCAGCUUAACUGGGGAACUGCGUCCGAUACUGGAUGGCUUGGAUUUGGGAGAGGGAUGCGGAAUUCCAGGUGUAGCGGUGAAAUGCGUAGAUAUCUGGAGGAACACCGGUGGCGAAGGCGGCAUCCUGGACCAAUAUUGACGCUGGGGAGCGAAAGCUAGGGGAGCAAACGGG